RNAcentral lists this ribosomal RNA (479 nucleotides) under uncultured Alteromonadales bacterium. RNAcentral's name for it is "bacterial SSU rRNA". It matches the Rfam family "Bacterial small subunit ribosomal RNA", at positions 30 to 505 of the family's 1533-position model. Lineage: Bacteria; Pseudomonadati; Pseudomonadota; Gammaproteobacteria; Alteromonadales. The record is from RNAcentral.
AUUGAACGCUGGCGGCAGGCCUAACACAUGCAAGUCGAGCGUGAAAAGCCUUCGGGCUGAGUAAAGCGGCGGACGGGUGAGUAACGCGUAGGAAUCUACCUGGUAGUGGGGGACAACAUGGGGAAACUCAUGCUAAUACCGCAUACGCCCUACGGGGGAAAGCGGGGGACCUUCGGGCCUCGCGCUAUCAGAUGAGCCUGCGUUGGAUUAGCUUGUUGGUGAGGUAAAAGCUCACCAAGGCGACGAUCCAUAGCUGGUCUGAGAGGAUGAUCAGCCACACUGGGACUGAGACACGGCCCAGACUCCUACGGGAGGCAGCAGUGGGGAAUAUUGCGCAAUGGGGGAAACCCUGACGCAGCCAUGCCGCGUGUGUGAAGAAGGCCUUAGGGUUGUAAAGCACUUUCAAUUGGGAAGAAAGGUUGUACGUUAAUAGCGUGCAGCUGUGACGUUACCUUUAGAAGAAGCACCGGCUAACUCCG